GCCGCGGUCGCUCUGGUACUGUGACACAGCAUCUUGCGCCGUUGCGCGCUGGAUUGCAGGUGCAGCCUGGAAACCCAACGCGCGGACUCUGCCGCGGCGGCGUGCAGGAAGGAACCGUGCACGCGGCUGCGGUUGCCGGGAUUCUCCGGAUGCUGCAAGACUUGUUGGGGGUGGAUACUUGAUGGCGACUUUCUCAGUUCCAGAACGUUUGACUAAGG
This 218-nucleotide long non-coding RNA is filed under the name Setaria italica (foxtail millet). Its description in RNAcentral is "long non-coding RNA (SITA_LNC004142)". The record is from RNAcentral. Lineage: Eukaryota; Viridiplantae; Streptophyta; Magnoliopsida; Poales; Poaceae.